AGGUUUGAUAUCAUAGAUAGCCAAAUACGCGAUUCAAAUAGUUUUUGACACAAGUGAUACAUUGCAGUUAAGUUAGUACUACAUGGUAAGAUAGGAUGAAAUGUUUAGUUUUGUUGGCAAUUGAUACAUUGUUCUUCCACACGGAGAGAUUGUGUCCAUCUCUAUCACUGGAUUGGUAGGUCUCAUGGUCUUUGAUGGUUAAAUGAAGCCUCUUGACAAUUUCUGCAAGCAUGUAUUCUCCUAUUUAUUUCACCAUGGAUUGGUGACAACUGAAACGCAUAGGAGCAGUAUAGAUAUGUCCUGGAAUUUAUCAAGUGACAUAUAUCACUACACUUUUGAAGAUUCUCUAUGGGCAAUGUAGAAGAUCUAAGUCAGGCUGCUAAACCAACUACAAAAAUAAUAAUAUUUAGGCAAUAUUUCAAGUGAAUGGGUAAGGAAGUAAUAAGAUGGAGAGCUUCACUAUCAUCAUUAACAGAAGGAAAAAGCAUAGACAAUGAAGAAUAUUUGUCUCGGUUCAGAACAUACAUGAACAUGACUAUAGACACACAAGAUUUAUUUUCCAAAAUAUGCACAAUUUAAUUUAAAUAAAUCCAUGUUGCUUUAUAGUAGGAAGAACACACCUGCAUCGACAAAAAUACAAAAAUGUAAGAUCCGAGUAACUAUACAGAUAGGCGACACAAUAGAAUGUAAGACAUGUCAACAUAGAACACUCUGUCCAGGAGUAGUCUUUAGGAAUAGCAGUCAAAUACAUCAUAUAGUAAUGGGAUCCAACACAAUCAAUCCAUGGUACCUUUUCUACAGAAAAAGCAUACAAAAAUAUGAUAUAAAUGUUUCUUCUGAUCUUCUCUACCAAAUAUUAUUAGUCUGAUCUUCGUGACUAUGAUCAGUCUGAUAAAAUAUGCAAGCCAUAUGAUUACUACGAAAAAGAUGGAGACAAAUUUGUGAGCUUCCUUGUGCACAAAUCAGACUACAUGUGCAAUGAAUGUCAAAAGAAAAUCAAGUUUCCAGAUGAAAACUUCUAAAGUAACUCAGGAUGUUGCAAUCAGCUGACAUUAUACUGCAACCUAGUGUUGUAGUUCACUAUGAGACCUCUAUUGAACCAUGAAACAAAAAGAAUGUUGCUUUCACAAGGCAACACUAUCUUUAAAACGAUGUUCAGACACACCUUGUAUGUAGUACAAUUCCUUUGGAUCAGGUCUGUUCAGGUUGACUAUAGAGGCGAAAUGUAGCAUAAAAAUUGAGCAGAAGAGAUAUCGUUGUGAAAUGCAAAAAAGAUAUUGAUUGGAGAUUGCACACAACAUAAAAGAAGAAAGUCACAACGCAACCAUAUAUAUUCAGUUCUAGCAGAAAUAGGAACUUGGGUGUAUUUUAGUUCAGAGAUAUACAAGUGAUCUAGUUCAGUUUAGUCAGGGCACGCAGUAAGAAGUAGUUCCCAAAGGUAAAGGCUUCGCAUUGGCUGCAGCUAGCUAUGUAAAACAGCCGGAUAUUGGAUGUUUAAACUGAAUUGUUGCACCCCUAAACUUGGAAUUCUGGUUCAGUUUUAGCUCUUAAGAAAUGCCGGUGGAAUAUUGCUCAACAAAUUAAAAUGAAUAUAGCACAUAAAUCCGACCUGACAGCCCCUCUUUUCUUCUUCUCUCACCUCCUCAGAUAUUAAUAUAUUGUAUUAAAUUUCAUAUUUAGAAACUGGAAGCAUAAGAAAGCUCGACGAAUAACUUCCUUGAAAUAAAUGAGCGACAGCUAAGUGAGGCAUACAUCCAAGGCAAAAUUUUCAUGUUUUGUAUGCCUACUUUUAGCUGAUGGUGAUGGUUACUUUAGUGUAUCGCUGAAUGAAAAAGCAAAUAAACAUGUGCCUUAUCGAUCAAAAGGUUACUCCCUAGACUAAUUAUCUAAACAAAAUCACCUCUAUCAAAAGCCCCAACGGUUAAUUCUAACGUGGAGGAGCAGUGCUGAAUUAACUGUUUGACUUCACUAUUCUAUACCGUAUAACAAACAAUCAAAGUUCAAGACUAUGAAUUUAGCAGCAUGAUGAUGAUGAUGGUGAUAUACUUAAUCAAAUACCAUUGCCGUAACAGUAAGGCCUUCUGUUCUGUUCCUUCAGUAAGAAAGUUGUAGAAAGAGAAGCAACCAAAUAAGCAAAGAAAUACCUUGCUACUUCAAUUUUAUCAAUUUUACUGUUGGAAUAUGGUUUCCCCAUAUAAAGCUGAUCCGGACAACCAAGCCAACCAUCCAGAAGGUCUGCGCAUGUAAUUCAGAGGGAGUAAUAUUUAAGGGAGUCCUUGCAUACGACAUGAUUCAGGAAAGUACAGUGUGGGAUGCCAUUAUAAUUUUAAGGUUGGGGUUGUUUUCCUGAGAUAGAAUCAAGAAAUCGAGUUAUCCUUAGCACAAGCAGGAGAGUAAAAAUUGAGGAGCCUAUGAUGACAACUUGAACUCGUAGCUGCUGAUGGUCAACAGCCUCCAUUGUCCACCCACCCACGGUCAUCAGCAGUUGCGCCCUUGCCCAAGCCGGGCUAGUGUCUGCCACCGCUGAGCAUUAUAUACAUUUGACUCCAUUGGCACCAUCACACAGUUGCGCAAAUAGACACAAAAGAGCAGCCAACUUAUCACUAUUUGGUGGAAAGUAGUCGAGACAUUGCUGCCUAAUGAUUAGACGCAGACCUCAGUAUAACCAACGCCUUGUGUAUAAAAUUUGCCUUCUAGAAAGCAAAACAUGAACAAAUGGUAAGGAAAUAUAGCUGCUUGCAUACUAAACGAUGAUCUUAUUCCUUUAAAGGGUCUACUAAAAAUAAAUAAGCAUCAAUAUGUAUGACCACACAAGCCAUUAAAUCUUGUGCUUUUAAAUUUUCAAUUACAGCAAUGGAGUUCAUUUUCGAGGGAUUUUUAACGAUCAUGUAUAAUAACUCGAAUGAAGAUCUGAAAGUACCUUGUAGGAAAGCUGAUUGCAAAAUUACAAAUUGUAAGCCAAAUCAGUUCAAAUCUGACCAAACUCUGGAUGACUAUCUCAUGAUGCCCAAUAUACUGCUCUUUCAAGGCAUCAAACAAAGUGCACUCCCUAUGAAAUGUGAAAUCGAGAAACAACCAGCGCCUAUGGACACACGUCAAUAGCAAUGCAAAAUAAAGAAAUAAGCAAGCAAACACUCAACAACCUACCGAAUGUUAGGAUUAAGACAUCCAGAUGCUCCAUAGUUUUUUCUUCUGGUGGAGCACAAUGCUUACUCGAGAUCAGAUUCUACCCCGGAUGAGUGUAUGCAUCGACAAUAGUAAAUUUCUCUCCAAGACUGUUGAAAAGAGCCAAAGGCAUGAAGACUAUUACCAAGCCAAGCAAACAGUAGCAGACACGCAGAACAAUUGAUGUGCGGAAUUACCUGUCACUAAACGAAUUUAUGUCAGGGAUAUCCUCAUUGAUAUACCAAAAGCAGGCCAAGCGACCAAUGAGCCCCUUGUACAUGUCGGAAAGAAACAAGAAGGAAAAAAAUUAUCAAGGACACUGAUCAUAAAGAAUCAAGAGCGUUGUAUAGAAAGCAUCCGAAAUAAAUGUCACAAACAAUGCGUUCUUUCUCAAUACACAACAAGCAUAAUAUAGUGUAGAAAUAAACCUUGCUUCUCUAGACCUUUAAUCAAGCUAUGAAGGACAUAAUGUCAAAAUGAUAACUGCCGAGAAAGGAAAUCACUAACAUCCAUGUGCAAUAUGUGACUGAGGUUAAUGCACAUAGGAAUAUUAAAACCUGCAGGUAUUUCUUGGUACAGAGCAACAACAACAACAACAACAACAACAAAGCCUUGGGUAGGCUAGAGGUGAAACCCAUAAGAUCUCGCAACCAACUCAUGGCUCUGGCACAUGGAUAGCAAGCUUCCACGCACCCCUGUCCAUAGCUAGCUCUUUGUCGAUACUCCAAUCCUUCAGGUCUCUCUUAACG
RNAcentral lists this long non-coding RNA (3914 nucleotides) under Triticum aestivum (bread wheat). RNAcentral's name for it is "long non-coding RNA (TAES_LNC022147)". Lineage: Eukaryota; Viridiplantae; Streptophyta; Magnoliopsida; Poales; Poaceae. The record is from RNAcentral.